UUGUUUUAUCUCUAAAUUCGAAAACUGACUAAUUAAAUAGUGCACAGCACACAGCAAGUAGUAUAAGUAAACCAGCUUCCAAGCCACAAGAGCAAUGCUGUGCAUUCAAAGUAAAUAUGAAUAAAGGAGCUUUGUUUGGAUGGUGGUUUAUAAUUCUUAUCCCACCAAAAAUUACAUCUCUACACCUAAAUGUAUGUCAUUUGGGUAACACUUUAUUUUAAGGACCAAUUCUCACUAUUAACUAGCAGCUUAUUAGCAUGCAUAUUACUAGCAUAUUGGCUUUAUAUUGGUACUUUGUCACAUAUUAAUGCGUUAAUCUACAUGACCAUAUUUUAGAUACCUUUAUCCACCCAAUACCUAAACUUAAAAAAAUAACUUACUAACUAUAAAUAGGCAGCAAAUUAAGAGUUUAUUGAGGGAAAACUCCUAUUUAAUAGUGAAUAUGUGUUCCCGUCAUUUGUGCUUUAGAUGAUUUUUUACAUGAUGUUUUUAAAGGUAUACGGAAAAUAUACCAGUAAUCAAUAUUAGACGUUUAUAGACAGUUGAUAAACUGCUGUAGAACAAAGUAUCUUUACAAAGAACAGGCUUCAUUAAAAGCCUCACUGAAACUUAAAGUCUUAGCAGUCCCUGAUCUGUCAAAAUGCCCUUUAAUUGGUGUGAGAAUACAAGUGGCCACAGUUGUUUUAUUUCUGACUGCAGUUGUCAGUGUACACUGGGCAUGCUAACAUGACCUCCAGCGGAUUACAUUAAAUGUAAUUAAACUUAUUUUUCUCUGACCCUCUUUGGCUGGUUUAAUAAUGCUGGUAUGGUAAGCUAAAAUCAAUAAAACGGAAUAAUUAAAGGACAAGUGGUUGAAAGUGUACAACUUAAAGAUGAUUUUAAGGAUGUUCACCUGGAGUGUUUUUACAUAUAGUUCCAUAUUGCUUUAUGUCAUUGCAGUAGCAUCCUUGUUUUGCUAUCAUCACACCAUUCGGUACACUCUUCCAUCCACAUAUCAUUCCCUCUUUAAGAGAACCCUCCUGUCAUCCCAUUGGUCAGAAUCUUGCCACACCCACUCUUCAUCCAGACAGUUUGUGUCCGGGCCUGAGGUUCGAGCGAGUCGUUCAGAGGCCCAAGGUUGCAGGUCCUGAUGGAGAAAGAGGGAGUGGGAGGGAGACAAAACUUGCGAGAGGACGAGGGAAAGCCCGUAAUGCUGUAAUGCCCAUUAACUUGGUCUUUUUGUGCACGCUACCCAGAAUUCCUUGUGACAUUUGUUGUGUGAAGAUUACUCACUGGCCCGUAGCCUAGUGUAGCACAACAGCGAUGGUUUUAAAGACACAGAGUUGGCGCUGUCCCAGCCUCGACACCUCACCCACAAACUGCGCCUCCUGUCAACCCCCACAGGCACCUAUUGUGGCGAAUCAGUGACCGUACCAUUCCUUCUUUCUGCUCUUCACCAACAAAUGAUAAACUAAGUGGAAAAAAAAACAGAAUGGCAUGAAGAAGAAAAGAAGAUCCAGAGCAUGUUGCCUUUCAGCUGAAGUCGUUGAGGACAAUGCAAGUGCUGGACCAUCAUUUUCAAAUGCACUGAAAAGCAGAGUACUGACAAGUUUCAUCAAACAAACAUUUCAUUAUUAUAUUUCUUACAACACAAUGCUUCAAUGAAAAUUAAUGCAAUGUUUAAAUAGAAAAGCAACAUAAUAAUAACUAUUCAAUGCUGCCUUUACAUGCUUUUUGAUUAAGUAUGUCAUGUUAAAGUGUUUUGAUCAGUCCUGCUGAUAGUUGCCACAUGUAUCAUUUGGUUCCAAAAAGCACCUGUCUCUAUCAGCAGAUGAAAAAUAUCGGUGAAUUCUGACUGAAUCUGACUUUUAAUUAUAUUGAUUAUAAUUGUUUUAAAUGUAUUAAAAUACUGUAUAUAUUGCUAAUGUAGUAUAAUACUGUAGAUAUUUUACCAGCAUUUUUCCUUAACAUUAAAUAUAUUUUCUAUUUUUAAUGUAUGAUAAAAUAUUGUUUAUCCUUGACAAAGGCCAACAGUUAUAAAACAGAGCAAAUAUAAUGUAAAAAUACAUGAAUGAUUUGAAUGGUUUAGUCUACUUUAGACAAAUAAAUAAAUAAUAAAAAUAACCUGCAAAAUGAAAUGACUUGGACUGUUAAUCAGUCAUUAACUUGUGUUUAAGGAUAUGGAAAUAAAAGAGAUUUUUAGUGAAUUUUUUUUAUAUAUUUUUUUUUUCAGCCACUCUUGCCAUACAGAAUAGAGAAAGAAGCAGUCAAAUGAGUUUAUCGUUCCUCAUCUGGUCUAAAUCUGUUGUAAACCUGUGGCUGGCUUGGGUGGUCUUGAUCGUUUACAGUAAAGUGAGGUUAUUUUGUGUGUGUGUGUGUGUGUGUGUGUGUGUGUUUGCUGAAUAAAUGACCAAGCACAGCUGUUUUAGCACUUAGCUAAUUUUGUUCCGGACUGUGAGUGUGUUUGCAUGGAUGUGUAUGUGGUUGUGCGUUUGUUAACUUUUGACCUUCUCACACUGAUAUCUUACGUCUGUCUCACACAUACAUGCAUUUUAAGGCCUUGAAUGCAAAGGUCAUCAACACUGAACAAUCCUAAUAAUCAGAAGCAGCUCUUUAAAGCAACAAAUAAGGAAAAUAAGCAUUUGAUUGUAGUGUGAACUUGUUAAUGUUUGGCAAGGGCACGACCUGGCAGCGAGGACUGCAGGGAUACUGUCUAUCUGCUGUCUCUGUGUUAAAAAGACUAUGUAUGUGUGUGUCUCUCCAAGACCAAGUGAGAGACACAGAUGGGUAAAAAGCAUGUUUGUGUUGGGUAGUUACUUCAGGUAAAAGUGAAACACUUGAUGGGGAAAAUUGUGAUCACACAUCUACUGGGUGAGUGACAGACAAUAGCUGCUGUAAAAUUCUCUCACAUCUCGCCUGCUCUGUAUUCAUGGCUCCUGUCUACUCUGUGACCCUCUCUCUCUUUUUCCACAUCCUCUCAACUCUCUCAAUCUCUUUCAACCUCUUCAACGCUUCCCUUUCUUUCUGGAAUAUUUGCUGUAUUUUUUCCCCCUCUGUCUAAACUCUCUGAUCAGGUGGGUUUGAGAGAAAACCUCACCUGACAACACACUCCCUUCCCCUCUUUAUCCAACCUAACAUUUCAAAUGUCGUUUUCACCCUGUUGGAGUACUCAUUCUUAGUCAGUCUAGCGUAAUAAAAACAGUAUGAUCUUUAAUCUCAAAGAUCUUUGGAAAAUGUAAGCAUUUGGUGUAGUAAACAGUAAGUCAUAUCAGCACUUUAUUCAUAUCACUGCUCAAUUUAGAAAAGACAGUUCAUUGAUAACAUUUUUUUUUUUUUUCGUCCAAAUCUGUCUGAGUUGACAGUGUUUCGGUAUGUAAAUCGAUAUGUGCACUAAAAACAUUGUGUGAAAACUGCAAGCAGGUGUUGUUUGUCACUGUUGGUUUGGUUCUGGCAGAUUUAGGCUCUUAUCUUCCUGAAUCUGUGUCAUCUAAUUUCUGUGGGAAUUGUUUUGACAAAACAGGUUAGCAUAAGGUGGGAGAUGUCAGACAAAACAAAGACUCUUUCAAUUUGUGUGCGUACGUGUGUGCAUUUGUGUGUUUGUGUGUCUGUCUCUCAAUGGGAAACAUGUGUCAGUCAUCCGCAAGGUGUUACACUGGAUAUGACAUCAUGGCCCUCUAGGGCUUGUGCUGGGAAGACGAGUUGUUUGAUUCCGUGUAAAAGAACAGAGUCUGGAGCUAACUGUGAAGAUCUGCUUCUAUCUCAGCUGUUGUAAAUGUCUUGCUAACACAAAUACAGCUCACAGGUGCAUGUCAAAACAAAUGUACAGUCUUUUUGUUCCUGUUUAUGGGUCUUGAAUAAAGGUGCACGAGCUCGGCAGAAUCUAAUGGGUAAUGUGUUUUUUUGUAGGCUGUGUGAUUUUGCAGAUAAUUACAAUUUAGUGUGUUUACUUAAUACACUAUUUUCUGGAAUACCCGAUUCUGAUUGGUCAGCUGUGCCAUUCAGUGCUCUAAUGUGUUCAUCUUCGUCCAUGGCAACACUUUCUGCAGACUUUCUUUCUGUUGUUACACUAAAAAAGGGAAACAAUCUGAUGCUUUCAGAUGUUUAAGUUCUCAUAACUAUUGCUUUAACAAUCCAAUUGAUGUAACACUACUUUGUUUUGUCAGUUUAAAUUUGUUCAUU
Cyprinus carpio (common carp) is the source of this 4158-nucleotide long non-coding RNA. RefSeq lists it as uncharacterized. NCBI's taxonomy places the organism in Eukaryota, Metazoa, Chordata, Actinopteri, Cypriniformes, Cyprinidae. The transcript has 3 exons. The record is from RefSeq and is a predicted model, not a curated record.